UUACAUACCUGGACGGGGUCGACGGCCGAUCAUGAAGGGUCGUGGCCACAUCAAUGGCUCACAUUGCACUUGCUGAGUGCGUUGGUCUACCAUCUCCCCAAGUGGACGAGGGGGUACGCGUUCGCGAGGCCCCUGC
This 136-nucleotide small nuclear RNA is filed under the name Brachypodium distachyon (stiff brome). RNAcentral describes it as "snRNA U1". It matches the Rfam family "U1 spliceosomal RNA". From Rfam's summary of the family: U1 is a small nuclear RNA (snRNA) component of the spliceosome (involved in pre-mRNA splicing). Its 5' end forms complementary base pairs with the 5' splice junction, thus defining the 5' donor site of an intron. The record is from RNAcentral. Lineage: Eukaryota; Viridiplantae; Streptophyta; Magnoliopsida; Poales; Poaceae.